This 484-nucleotide ribosomal RNA is filed under the name uncultured bacterium. RNAcentral's name for it is "partial 16S ribosomal RNA". It matches the Rfam family "Bacterial small subunit ribosomal RNA", at positions 30 to 507 of the family's 1533-position model. The record is from RNAcentral.
AUUGAACGCUGGCGGCAUGCUUUACACAUGCAAGUCGAACGGCAGCGCGGGCUUCUGCCUGGCGUCGAGUGGCGAACGGGUGAGUAAUACAUCGGAACGUGCCCAGUAGUGGGGGAUAGCUCGGCGAAAGCCGGAUUAAUACCGCAUACGACCUGAGGGGGAAAGCGGGGGAUCUUCGGACCUCGCGCUAUUUGAGCGGCCGAUGGCAGAUUAGCUAGUUGGUGGGGUAAAGGCCUACCAAGGCGACGAUCUGUAGCUGGUCUGAGAGGACGACCAGCCACACUGGGACUGAGACACGGCCCAGACUCCUACGGGAGGCAGCAGUGGGGAAUUUUGGACAAUGGGCGAAAGCCUGAUCCAGCAAUGCCGCGUGUGUGAUGAAGGCCUUCGGGUUGUAAAGCACUUUUGGCGGGAACGAAAAGGACUGUGCCAAUACCACGGUUCGAUGACGGUACCCGCAGAAUAAGCACCGGCUAACUACGUG